GUCAGCAGCCGCGGUAACACCGGCGGCCCGAGUGGUGAUCGUGAUUAUUGGGUCUAAAGGGUCCGUAGCCGGUUUGGUCAGUCCUCCGGGAAAUCUGAUAGCUCAACUAUUAGGCUUUCGGGGGAUACUGCCAGACUUGGAACCGGGAGAGGUAAGAGGUACUACAGGGGUAGGAGUGAAAUCUUGUAAUCCCUGUGGGACCACCUGUGGCGAAGGCGUCUUACCAGAACGGGUUCGACGGUGAGGGACGAAAGCUGGGGGCACGAACCGGAUUAGAUACCCGGGUAGUCCCAGCCGUAAACGAUGCUCGCUAGGUGUCAGGCAUGGCGCGACCGUGUCUGGUGCCGCAGGGAAGCCGUGAAGCGAGCCACCUGGGAAGUACGGCCGCAAGGCUGAAACUUAAAGGAAUUGGCGGGGGAGCACAACAACGGGUGGAAGCCUGCGGUUUAAUUGGACUCAACGCCGGACAACUCACCGGGGGCGACAGCAAUAUGUAGGCCAAGCUGAAGACUUUGCCUGAAUCGCUGAGAGGAGUGGUGCAUGG
This 544-nucleotide ribosomal RNA is filed under the name uncultured archaeon. Its description in RNAcentral is "bacterial SSU rRNA". It matches the Rfam family "Archaeal small subunit ribosomal RNA", at positions 457 to 997 of the family's 1478-position model. The record is from RNAcentral.